RNAcentral lists this small RNA (349 nucleotides) under Pongo abelii (Sumatran orangutan). RNAcentral's name for it is "sense overlapping". Lineage: Eukaryota; Metazoa; Chordata; Mammalia; Primates; Hominidae. The record is from RNAcentral.
GCAUAUGAGUCACAGACAGAAUAUUGGCACCUUUUUUUUAAGAAACUGAAUGUUAAUGUCACAUCUGCCUUUGGAGAUUACAAAUGAAAUGGCUACCUUUCUACUGGAACUCUGACCAGAAGCCUGCCAAUUAGUAAGCUGGCUUAAGAGAUCAAUCUAAAAUUUACAUAAGGCUUUUGAAAAAAAGAAAAAAGAACGCAAAGGCACGGAUUGACGUUAUGAGUCCUGAUUUUUGAGUUGACUUCUCAUCACCUGGAAGUGAAUAAAACAGUAGACUUCUCUAACAUUUUGCAACACAGCAUGAAAAAAUAUAAAGUAAAAAAGAUUUAUAUAUAUAAAAUAUGAUAAA